AGCUCCAAUAGCGUAUAUUAAAGUUGUUGCGGUAAAAGCUCGUAGUUGGAUUUCUGUUGAGGGCGCUCGGUCCACUCUAUGAGUGUGUAUCUGAGUUUGUCUUCGGCAUCCCGUGGGAGAACGUAGCUGCGCUUAACUGCGUGGUACGGCCUCUUCCACGCUUUUACUUUGAGGAAAUUCGAGUGUUUACGGCAGGCAUUAGCCGCUGUGAAGAUGUUAGCAUGGAAUAAUAAGAUAGGACCUUGGUCCCAUUUUGUUGGUUUCUGGAACUAAGGUAUGCACGGUUAAUAGGAACAUUUGGGGGCAUUUGUAUCGGCCAGCUAGAGGUGGAAUUCUUGGAUUUGGUCGCGACAAACUACUGCGAAAGCAUUUGUCAAGGAUGUUUUCAUUGAUCAAGAAGAAAGUUAG
This 408-nucleotide ribosomal RNA is filed under the name uncultured eukaryote. RNAcentral's name for it is "SSU rRNA". It matches the Rfam family "Eukaryotic small subunit ribosomal RNA", at positions 587 to 993 of the family's 1831-position model. The record is from RNAcentral.